UACGAACUGUGCGAACGUUAUUCGGAAUCACUGGGCUUAAAGGGUGCGUAGGCGGCGCUGUAAGUCAGGUGUGAAAGCCCUCGGCUCAACCGAGGAAUUGCGCUUGAAACUAGCAGUGCUUGAGUGAGGUAGGGUGCAUGGAACUUCCGGUGGAGCGGUGAAAUGUGUAGAUAUCGGAAGGAACGCCGGCGGCGAAAGCGGUGCACUGGGCCUUGCCUGACGCUGAGGCACGAAAGCUAGGGUAGCGAACGGGAUUAGAAACCCUAGUAGU
RNAcentral lists this ribosomal RNA (271 nucleotides) under uncultured bacterium. Its description in RNAcentral is "partial 16S ribosomal RNA". It matches the Rfam family "Bacterial small subunit ribosomal RNA", at positions 524 to 794 of the family's 1533-position model. The record is from RNAcentral.